RNAcentral lists this long non-coding RNA (5472 nucleotides) under Sus scrofa (pig). RNAcentral's name for it is "lncRNA (ENSSSCG00040012455.1)". Lineage: Eukaryota; Metazoa; Chordata; Mammalia; Artiodactyla; Suidae. The record is from RNAcentral.
UUUUUUUUUUUUUUUUUCUCUUUUUUUUUUUUUUUGCUUUUUUAGGGCCACACUAGUGGCAAUGGAAGUUCCCAGGCUAGGGGUCCAAUCGGAACUAUAGCUGCCAGCCUACACCAGAGCCACAGCAACACCAGAUCUGAGCCUCGUCUGUGACCUACACCACAGCUCACAGCAACACCCUAUCUCUAACCCACUUAGCAAGGCCAGGAAUUGAACCCACAACCUCAUGGUUCCUAGUCAGAUUUGUUUCCACUGUGCCACGACAGGAACUUCUCCUUUGUGAUAUUUAAAAGCAAAUCCCAAAUAUAUAGUUUUGUUCCUUACUAUAAUAAGGAUCCAACUCUAAAAUAUAAACAUUUUCAUACAUACCACAGACAUUCAUGAAAUGUAAAAAUUUAUUGCUAACAUCUAGUAUCAAUUCCAUAACCACAUUUCUUUGAUGUCUCAAAAAAUUUCUUUUUAUAGUUUAUUUGUUCAAAUCAGAAUCCAAAUAAGAUCCAUAGCAUGUAUUUGGUUGUUAGAUCUUUUAAGUCUCCUUUAACCCAGGGCACUGGUUUUUUCUUUCCUCCUUUUUUUUUUCCUUUUAAAAAAUUUAUGUCAUUGAUUUGUUGUAGAAACUGGAUUAGUUGUCCUAUAAAAUGUCUAAAUAUUGCAUAAUAAAAACUCUUCAAUUAAAAAAAAAAAGGACAAAAUGCAGGGUUUGAGCCUUUCAACUUCCAGUAAGUCAGCCCAUCUCUUUGGAAUGUUCUUUGAAGUGUCUGGCAUUCAAUCCAGUCCAGUGAACCAUAAACACUCACCACGCUUGGCACACAUACGCAGGCUGCUAAAUAACAGUGCUUUUGCUGGAUGUUUGAAUUUUAUCAUUCAGGCUUCUCAGGUUCUUGACCUGUUUACUCACUGUGAUUUGUCUACUGUUACUAAAUUAACAGAAUCUGAAAAUAGCACUAUUUCUGAAACAUUUUUUUAAAAAGCAAUUAAGAUAAUGCCUGUUUGCUAAACUCCAUCUUCUCUACUUCAGAAAUUAGAAAAUUAAAAAUAGUUGAACUGGAGGUAGCAUCCGUAAAAGCCAAAUUUGGUUCCACUUUGAAGAUGCAGAGAAGAAGCAGUGACCAGACAAUGCAUGUUUUCUUCACUUCAGCGUCUGCCUUCACCUUUGAUUUCUUUGCUAUAAUUAGCCUCUGUUGCCAGUUAAGCUAAGAACUUACUACCUGCAGUAACUAGAUCAGGAGUUCUUUUAGCUUUGUUGUUUCAAUAGUGCAUGAAUAUUAUUACAAAUUUAAAAGGGUUUUUUAAAAUGUCUAUCUCAUGCUAAUCAUUUUGACUCAUUUACUAAUUUGAAUAUUCAAAGCAAAGGUAUACUUCCAAAUCAAGCAUAGGCCAUAUUUACAGAAAACUGGAUAUUUAAUGUUUUUUCACUUCUGGAAAACCAAAAACAGUAUCUUCAUUGAACCUGUGCUCACACAUUCUGGACUUAACCCUGGUUCUACAACUUACAUGCUAGAGAAACCAUUUAAUUUUUCCAAGCCAUAGUUUUCUCAGGAAAAAUGAACGCACUCUACUUAAUUUAUAGGGACUUAGGGGUAAUAGGUGAAACGGUUUAAAGUGUAGCUUGGGUAAUUUUGGGUGUGUUCUUUGGAUCAGGCCCUAAACUAGGAGACGGUUGACAGAUAUGUAUUUGCUAUUUUAUUUGGCCAUGCCUUCGGAGGAGGGAUUGAACCCACGAUACAGUUUCAACCUGUUCCGAAGCUGUGGCAAUGUUGGAUCGUUAGCCCCCUUCACCAUAAGGGAGCUUCCCAUAUUAGUUAUUUUAAGAUGAAAGAGGGAGUUCCCAUUGUGGUGAAGUGGAAACGAAUCCAGCUAGGAUCCAUGAAGAUGCAGGUUCAAUCCCUGGCCUUGCUCAGUGGGUUGGGAAUCUGGCGUUGCCGUGAGCUAUGGUGUAGGUCAAAAAUGAGGCUCGGAUCCCGCAUUGCCGUGGCUGUGGCAUAGGCCAGCAGUUUCAGCUCCAAUUCGACCCCUAGCCUGAGAAAUUCCAAAUGCCGUGGAUGUGGCCCUAAAAAGCAACAAAGUUUUUAAAAAAAUUUUUUUAAAUAAAAAAUAAAGAUGAAAGAGAAAGGUUUGAGAACCAGGAUCCUCGAAUCCUCAACUAGCCAGCUACUGUGGCUUCAGCUGCCCCCUCUUGAACCCUUUAAGAGAUAAGUAGAGAGGACCAGGUUAAACAGACACCAGCCAAAGAUAAGAGCUGGAGCCUUGACAUAUGUUUGGGAUGAAUUGGGUGGUCAGCGGAUAAUCUUUCCUGUGGUCCACUGAUAAUUAGUUACUCUUUGUGCUCCUAUAACUCUUUGGAUUCAUCAUAUUCUGCCUUGUAGGAUAUUUAUUUUGUACAAAUAUAUACCAUCCACUUAAAUAUCUUAAGAGCAGGGGUCAUAUUUAUCUUCCUAGAAUUUCCUAAUGUAGUAAGAACUCAAUAAAUGUUUAUUUAAUCAAAUUGGCACUUGAAUGGCCAGAAAUGUCACCUCAUCAUAUGGUCUUCAAUUAGAAAAGACUUCGUAGUUGCAAAGUCGAAAAAGCAACUUAAACCAAGCCAAACUACACUAUACACUAACAAUGAGAUUAACAUUGGAAGGUAAUAUUCCAGGAGUUAUAAUGGACAAGCUGAAUUAAGUAUUGGUUUAUCCAUUCAUUUAGCAAACGUUUGUUGAGAACUUGUUGUACGUUAGACACUGUGCUUGAUGAACAGGAUGCCAAGGUGAAACUCAGCACUCAGGGAGUUCACAGUUUCAGUUGUGUUGAAUCUGGGAAUAGGUUUUGUUUUUUUUUUUUUUUUUGGGGGGGGGGUGUCUUUUGAGGGCCGCACCUGUGGCAUAUGGAAGUUCCCAGGUUAGGGUCGAAUCGUAGUUAUAGUCACCAUCCUACGCCACAGCCACAGCAACUCAGGAUCCAAGCCGAGUCUGCAACCUACACCACAGCUCACAGUGACGCCAGAUUCUUAACCCACUGAGCGAGGCCAGGGAUUGAACCUGCUUCCUCAUGGAUACUAGUCAGAUUAAUUUCCACUGAGCCACGAUGGGAACUGCUGGGAAUAAUUUUUAAUAAUAAAGAAUAAUAGGAUUUAUAGGUUACAGGAGUCCUAAAAAGAAGUAGUUUAUAAUAUUAAACAUAGUUACUAUAAUUUAAUGAAUAGUAACUAAUUCUAAUUCCACAUACCAGCUAUUAUGAUUUUAGGCAAAUUGUAUAAUAUCUUCAAAUUUGUUUCCUCAUCUGUAGAGUGGAGUAUUGUGAAGAUUCAAUUAUAUACAGUAAGCCAAACAACUAGGAUAGCUCUUGGCAUAUAAACUUAUGUCUUUAUUAAUUACUCAGUGAUUAUUUGAUCACCAGUGAGGCUUCCCAGAAGGUAUUAGAAAUCCUGCCUGACAGGAAGUUCCCUUGUACCACAGCUUGUUAAGGAUCCAGCAUUGCUGCAACUGUGGCACAGGCCACAGCUGCAGCGCGGGUUCAAUCCUUGGCCUGGGAACUUCCAUGUGCCACAGGUACAGCCAGAAAAAAAAGGAAGAAAGAAAACCUGCCCGACAGAUGCUAAGAAUCACAGUGGCUUGUAAGUAUAUAAUUCACAACAUGUAUAAAAGUUUAAACAUCUUUCUGACAGAAAAGAUCAGAUUCCCCUACUCCAAGAAGCCAAAGCCCCUCCUUAUUCCAGAAUAACAUGAGUUGACCUUUCCAAGUAUAUAGGGUCACUCCAACCAGGCCCAGUACUUUUCUUUUUAUCUUUCUUUUUUUCUGCUUUUUAGGGCUGCAUCUACAGCAUAUGGAGGUUCUCAGGCUAGGGGUCAAAUCGAAGCUACAGCUACUGGCCUACACCACAGCCACAGCAUCGCCAGAUCCUAGCCGCAUCUGCGCCUAUGCCACAGCUCACGGCAGUGCCGGAUCCUGAACCCAUUGAGUGAGGCCGUAACCUCAUAGUUCCUGGUCAGAUUCCUUUACGCUGCGCCACGACGGGAACUCCAAGGCCCAGUACUUUUCUUUACGGAUUCCCUCUACCUCCUCCCAACUCUUCCUCAUCUGGUGCUAAUGCUCCCCUAGGGGUUCCUAGGGGAGAAGGAUGAACAUAAGGAAAGGCAGGGCUCUGUACAAAAGUGUUCAAUUUCAAUCUUUAUGCAACCUUUUUUUUUUUUUUUUUUUUUUUUUUUUUGCUUUUUAGGGCCAUACCCUGGCAUAAGGAAGUUCCCAGGUUAGGGGUUGAAAUGGAGCCACAACCACCAGCCUACGCAACAGCCACAGCAACGCUGGAUCCGAGCCACAUCUGCAACCUACACCACAGUUCAUGGUAACACCGGAUCCUUAAUCCACUGAGUGAAGCCAGGGAUCGAACCUGCAUCCUCCUGGUUACUAGUUGGAUUCAUUUCUGCUGCACCACAACGGGAGCCCCUCUUUGUGCAAUCUGUGGGCCCAUCAUGGCUUCUAGGUUUUGUUUUAGGCUAAGGAAGUUCUUUCCUACCCCAAAUAUUGAAAGAUAGAGAUAGAUAGAUAGAUAAAUAGAUAGAUUUUUUUUUUACAGUUUUAUUGUUUUGUUUUUCACAUUUAAUCUUUAAGCCACCAGUAAUUUAUGGAUAGCUAGUUAUCCUUAUGCUGUUUGUAUUGAAUAAUUCAGUCUUCCUCUAUUGACUUGAAAUGCCCCUUGAGCAUGUAUGAAACCCUCUAAGUAUAGUCAUGUUAUUUUCUGGACUCCGUUCCACUCCACUGAUCCAGUUGUCUUUUCCUGAUUAGUACCACACUAUCCUGUUUACAGUAUUUUAUAUACUUCUCUUCAGUGUCUUAUGGAUCAAGUCUUCUUUUGUUAGAGUUGUUUUUCAAAACUUUCUUGGCUGUUUUCAAAUAUGUACUCUUUCAGAUAAACUAGAGAGUCAACUUUUAUUUUUCAUUAUUUACUUACUUAUUUUUUGGCUGCUCCCACAACAUAUGGAAGUUCCCAGCUCAGGAUUGAACCUGUGCAACAGCAAUGACCUGAGCCACUGCGGUGAAAACACUGACUCUUUAACCCAUUGUGCCACAAGAGAACUCUUGAGAAUGGACUUUUAUUGUUUUAAUUUUUUGGCCACACCCAUGGCGUGUGGAAGUUCCCAGGCCUGGAAUCAAACCCAAGCUGCUGGAUCCUUAACCAACAAGCCACAAGAGAACUCCUCAGCUUUUAAAUAUAAAAAAAUUUGUUGGGGAGUUCCCGUCGUGGCGCAGUGGUUAACGAAUCCGACUAGGAACCAUGAGGUUGCGGGUUCGAUCCCUGCCCUUGCUCAGUGGGUUAACGAUCCGGCGUUGCCGUGAGCUGUGGUGUACGUUGCAGACGCGGCUCGGAUCCCGCGUUGCUGUGGCUCUGGCGUAGGCUGGUGUCAACAGCUCCGAUUAGACCCCUAGCCUGGGAACCUCCAUAUGCCGCAGGAGCGGCCCAACAAAUGGCAAAAGACACAAAAAAAAAAAAAAAAA